CAUACAUUGGAGCACGGAAAAGGAAU
Molecule: non-coding RNA, 26 nt
Filed under: Cricetulus griseus (Chinese hamster)
Lineage: Eukaryota; Metazoa; Chordata; Mammalia; Rodentia; Cricetidae
Source: RNAcentral